This 139-nucleotide small nucleolar RNA is filed under the name Drosophila willistoni. Its description in RNAcentral is "snoRNA:GK26696". Lineage: Eukaryota; Metazoa; Arthropoda; Insecta; Diptera; Drosophilidae. The record is from RNAcentral.
CGCAACUUCUACCCAUUGGUUGGUCAAAUUAAUUUAUUUUGAUACAACUAAGAUUCAAAGUUUGCUAGAUCAAUGUACGUGACUUACCAUGUGAAUGGAAUUAUUCACUCAACUAUUUACAGAAGAAGAAGCGUAACAA